CUCUAAAGGAGAGUAGCUGCUGGUACUUCCUUUUUACAAAAUGAGGAUAAAAUGAUGAUGUAAAAACUGUAAUUCAAUUUUGUAGAAGUUUUUUACAUAGAAAAUCUCCUAAUUUCCAUUGUAGUGCUCCUACCCUGUGAAUGAAUUGUUUUUAUUACCAGUCAAUUACUUAUAGUUCAACUGUUAAAAAUUCCUUUUCCAGCUGCAGAUGAGACAUUUCACGCAUCCUGUUUAUUUAGUAUUUGAAGUGAAUGGUGGUUCUUAUGUUCAACAAGAACUAUUGGGACUGCUUUACUAUACCUGCCAGCUUUAAUUUCUGCCCUCCUUUACAGACCAAAAUCCACACCGCAGCUGUAUCUUAACCUCCCAAACACUAUUAUCAUCACUUCUUGUGCUGAUCAGUAAAAUGCAAAAAAGAGAAGCUGACAAUCUGUUCAUAAAACCCUUCUCAAUGCUGGAAUUCUCCAGGCAUGUCUUACCUGGAUAUAGAGGAAGACACUAGGAUCCACAGACAUAUCUUUAACAGCCAAUGUCCAUUCUGACAAAUAAGCAAGUUAAAUUGUUAAGUUGUUUUACAGACACUCAAAAACUCUCUUUAACCAUAUCAUAUGACUCUGGUGAAAAGACUGAACUGAACUUGAGGCAUAGCUCUUGCAGACUUUGGAAAAAGCUCUUGCAGACAAGUGAAAACCAAGAGGAUGAGAAAACUGCCAUAGAGAACCAGAUAACAGCAGUCAUGAGAAACUCAGAUAUUGAAGCAGCACUCACACUACCCUCUACACAGACCUGUUUGUUCUUCCAUGAGCAAAUGUAGAGCCUGCAAGACUAAUAUCUGACUGAAAAAGUAGCCAGAAUCGACUGGACAGGCAUAAACUCCCCACUGUGUGAGCUAACACAGGUGCCAUGAUUAUAAGCAGACAUGAGGAGGGAAGAAUCCAAGAUCUCACCCAUGAGGACUGUAUUCAGAAAACUGGGACCACACCAAACCCCUUACCUCUUUGCCCACAAGAUUUCUCCACCCUCUCUUUCCCAUUAAACUACAAAAGACACAUAUUUAAAACCAUAAGUAAUAAUACAGCAAUUGCCACUGACUACUUUUGAAACACCUAACAUUAGUCAAAACCUCAAGUCUAUCAACAGUUUUCACAGAAAGGCAGCCUGUGGAGCCAAGCAGGAAAAGCACAAGGCCCUCUGAAUUUGCUCCCCUCUGAUUUUGUGCUGAAAUUGCACAGCUGCCAUUUGCCUCACACAAGGGGACUGAGUCUCUGCUGAUUCAGUCUGUCUCACUGUAUCUAAUGUAUGGUGCUUGCACAACCCUUUAAGGUGCAUCAGUACAAAGCCAACGCUGGAGGUGAGUGAGACACAAUAAACUUAAUUUGUCUCAAUCUUCUGCAUUGAGCAUAGGACAAUCCUUCCUUGUCAGUCUCUGCACGUUCUUCAUCU
Long non-coding RNA from Oenanthe melanoleuca, 1443 nucleotides. RefSeq lists it as uncharacterized. The transcript is spliced from 3 exons. NCBI's taxonomy places the organism in Eukaryota, Metazoa, Chordata, Aves, Passeriformes, Muscicapidae. The record is from RefSeq and is a predicted model, not a curated record.